Molecule: ribosomal RNA, 913 nt
Filed under: uncultured bacterium
Lineage: Bacteria
Description: bacterial SSU rRNA
Rfam family: Bacterial small subunit ribosomal RNA
Source: RNAcentral
AGAGUUUGAUCCUGGCUCAGGAUGAACGCUAGCGGGAGGCUUAACACAUGCAAGUCGAGGGGCAGCAUGGGGUAGCAAUACCCUGAUGGCGACCGGCAGACGGGUGAGUAACGCGUAUGUAACCUACCCUGUACAGGGGGAUAACCCGGAGAAAUUCGGACUAAUAUCCCAUAACAAUAUUCGGAGGCAUCUUUGGAUAUUUAAAGUUCCGGCGGUACGGGAUGGGCAUGCGUAACAUUAGCUAGUUGGUAAGGUAACGGCUUACCAAGGCUUUGAUGUUUAGGGGUCCUGAGAGGGUGGUCCCCCACACUGGUACUGAGACACGGACCAGACUCCUACGGGAGGCAGCAGUGAGGAAUAUUGGUCAAUGGGCGCAAGCCUGAACCAGCCAUCCCGCGUGCAGGAAGACGGCCCUAUGGGUUGUAAACUGCUUUUCCAGGGGGAGAAACUUGCGCACGUGUUGCGCAAUUGACGGUACCCUGGGAAUAAGCAUCGGCUAACUCCGUGCCAGCAGCCGCGGUAAUACGGAGGAUGCGAGCGUUAUCCGGAUUCAUUGGGUUUAAAGGGUGCGUAGGCGGACUAUUAAGUCAGUGGUGAAAUCCUGCAGCUUAACUGCAGAACUGCCAUUGAUACUGAUAGCCUUGAGUUUGGUUAAGGUAGGCGGAAUGUGUAAUGUAGCGGUGAAAUGCUUAGAUAUUACACAGAACACCAAUUGCGUAGGCAGCUUACUGAGCCGACACUGACGCUGAGGCACGAAAGCGUGGGGAUCGAACAGGAUUAGAUACCCUGGUAGUCCACGCCGUAAACGAUGAUCACUCGUUGUUGGCGAUACACAGUCAGCGGCUAAGCGAAAGUGAUAAGUGAUCCACCUGGGGAGUACGAUCGCAAGGUUGAAACUCAAAGGAAUUGACGG